Molecule: ribosomal RNA, 495 nt
Filed under: uncultured bacterium
Lineage: Bacteria
Description: partial 16S ribosomal RNA
Rfam family: Bacterial small subunit ribosomal RNA
Source: RNAcentral
GAUGAACGCUGGCGGCGUGCCUAAUACAUGCAAGUCGAGCGAACAGACGAGGAGCUUGCUCCUCUGACGUUAGCGGCGGACGGGUGAGUAACACGUGGAUAACCUACCUAUAAGACUGGGAUAACUUCGGGAAACCGGAGCUAAUACCGGAUAAUAUAUUGAACCGCAUGGUUCAAUAGUGAAAGACGGUUUUGCUGUCACUUAUAGAUGGAUCCGCGCCGCAUUAGCUAGUUGGUAAGGUAACGGCUUACCAAGGCGACGAUGCGUAGCCGACCUGAGAGGGUGAUCGGCCACACUGGAACUGAGACACGGUCCAGACUCCUACGGGAGGCAGCAGUAGGGAAUCUUCCGCAAUGGGCGAAAGCCUGACGGAGCAACGCCGCGUGAGUGAUGAAGGUCUUCGGAUCGUAAAACUCUGUUAUUAGGGAAGAACAAAUGCGUAAGUAACUAUGCACGUCUUGACGGUACCUAAUCAGAAAGCCACGGCUAACUACG